This 526-nucleotide ribosomal RNA is filed under the name uncultured Sulfurovum sp. RNAcentral describes it as "bacterial SSU rRNA". It matches the Rfam family "Bacterial small subunit ribosomal RNA", at positions 521 to 1040 of the family's 1533-position model. The record is from RNAcentral. Lineage: Bacteria; Pseudomonadati; Campylobacterota; Epsilonproteobacteria; Campylobacterales; Sulfurovaceae.
UAAUACGGAGGGUAGCAAGCGUUACUCGGAAUCACUGGGCGUAAAGGGCGCGUAGGCUUUUUAUUAAGUCUCGAGUGAAAGCCUACAGCUUAACUGUAGAACUGCUCGGGGAAACUGAUAGAAUAGAGUAUGGAAGAGGUAGGUGGAAUUUCCAGUGUAGGGGUAAAAUCCGUAGAUAUUGGAAGGAAUACCAGAAGCGAAGGCGACCUACUGGGACAUUACUGACGCUGAGGCGCGAAAGCGUGGGGAGCAAACAGGAUUAGAUACCCUGGUAGUCCACGCCCUAAACGAUGAAUGUUAGUCGUCGGGUAGCUAGUCUAUUCGGUGACGCAGCUAACGCGUUAAACAUUCCGCCUGGGGAGUACGGCCGCAAGGUUAAAACUCAAAGGAAUAGACGGGGACCCGCACAAGCGGUGGAGCAUGUGGUUUAAUUCGAAGAUACGCGAAGAACCUUACCCGGACUUGACAUGUAAAGAAUCCUGCAGAAAUGUAAGAGUGCUAGCUUGCUAGAACUUUAACACAGGUG